CGUAGGGUCCAAGCGUUGUCCGGAUUUACUGGGCGUAAAGAGCGCGUAGGCGGCUCGUUAAGUGUGAAGUGAAAUCUCUAGGGCUCAACCCAGAAACUGCUUUACAUACUGGCGAGCUGGAGUGAUGAAGAGGUUUGUGGAAUUCCUGGUGUAGCGGUGAAAUGCGUUGAUAUCAGGAGGAACACCCAUGGCGAAGGCAGCAAACUGGUCAUCAACUGACGCUGAGGCGCGAAAGCGUGGGUAGCAAACAGGAUUAGAUACCCUGGUAGUCCACGCCCUAAACGAUGGAUACUAGGCGUAAGAGGUAUCGACCCCUCUUGUGCCGCAGCUAACGCAUUAAGUAUCCCGCCUGGGGAGUACGGCCGCAAGGUUG
This 373-nucleotide ribosomal RNA is filed under the name uncultured organism. RNAcentral's name for it is "bacterial SSU rRNA". It matches the Rfam family "Bacterial small subunit ribosomal RNA", at positions 526 to 896 of the family's 1533-position model. The record is from RNAcentral.